UACACGUUCCCAUUUGAAUUGUCAGUUCCUUUUUGUUUUCAUUAGAAAACUGCACACACGACCACAUAAGGUGAUAUAUAUGUUCUCAGUUCCUCUUUUGCAGUAAACAUACAAAGAUCAGCUGAAGACAUUCUUAAUCAUGUAAUGAUAUCACAGUCCCAUUUUUCCGGACCACUAAUCACCCAGGUGAGACCAUCGAUGCAAGGGACGUACCAUAGGGAAUCAGGAUGAUGGAUACACACGGUUCAAGUUCUCAAAUGGAGCCAGCUGGGAUUACGGCACACCAUUCAGAGAGACCAGUCCUUAAUCCUCUCUUAAACCACCAUCUGCCACAAGUAAUCAGUCGCCGCUUCCCAAGUCAGUAUUUUGAUUUCAAUGUCCAAUAUGUGGUUUCUGCGCAUGUGGGAAUUUAGAUAUGUAAUGUAACAGUGCUCUGCCAUAACUGAUAAGACGGUGUGUGUUGCCUGCUAAGGUUUUUCUGAUUGUCUUUGUUGAGGAACUUGGUCUUUUAACAUGAACAUACUGUUAGUACUUGCAUCUUCUCCAUUCGUUCACAUUUUAGGGAAGCAAAGAAAUAUGAUUGGCG
This 586-nucleotide small RNA is filed under the name Malus domestica (apple). RNAcentral's name for it is "sRNA MD08G0163400". The record is from RNAcentral. Lineage: Eukaryota; Viridiplantae; Streptophyta; Magnoliopsida; Rosales; Rosaceae.